UACGUAGGUGACAAGCGUUGUCCGGAUUUACUGGGCGUAAAGAGCGCGCAGGCGGUCGUUCAAGUCGAGUGUGAAAGCCCCCGGCUCAACUGGGGAGGGUCAUUCGAUACUGAUCGACUCGAAGGCAGGAGAGGGUAGUGGAAUUCCCGGUGUAGUGGUGAAAUGCGUAGAUAUCGGGAGGAACACCAGUGGCGAAGGCGGCCCCCUGGACCGGUACUGACGCUGAGGCGCGAAAGCGUGGGUAGCAAACGGG
RNAcentral lists this ribosomal RNA (253 nucleotides) under uncultured bacterium. Its description in RNAcentral is "partial 16S ribosomal RNA". It matches the Rfam family "Bacterial small subunit ribosomal RNA", at positions 524 to 776 of the family's 1533-position model. The record is from RNAcentral.